AUUGAACGCUGGCGGCAGGCUUAACACAUGCAAGUCGAGCGAGCGGCGGACGGGUGAGUAAUGUCUGGGAAACUGCCUGAUGGAGGGGGAUAACUCCUGGAAACGGUAGCUAAUACCGCAUACCAUCAGAUGUGCCCAGAUGGGAUUAGCUAGUAGGUGGGGUAAUGGCUCACCUGGGCGACGAUCCCUAGCUGGGCUGAGAGGAUGACCAGCCACACUGGAACUGAGACACGGUCCAGACUCCUACGGAGUGCAGCAGUGGGGAAUAUUGCACAAUGGGCGCAAGCCUGAUGAAGCCAUGCCGCGUGUAUGAAGAAGGCCGUCGGGUUGUAAAGUACUGUCAGCGAGGAGGCGUUACUCGCAGAAGAAGCACCGGCUAACUCCGUGCCAGCAGCCGCGGUAAUAC
Molecule: ribosomal RNA, 406 nt
Filed under: uncultured bacterium
Lineage: Bacteria
Description: partial 16S ribosomal RNA
Rfam family: Bacterial small subunit ribosomal RNA
Source: RNAcentral